RNAcentral lists this ribosomal RNA (433 nucleotides) under uncultured bacterium. RNAcentral describes it as "bacterial SSU rRNA". It matches the Rfam family "Bacterial small subunit ribosomal RNA", at positions 355 to 786 of the family's 1533-position model. The record is from RNAcentral.
UGAGGAAUAUUGGUCAAUGGGCGGGAGCCUGAACCAGCCAAGCCGCGUGAAGGAAGAAGGCGCUAAGCGUCGUAAACUUCUUUUGUCGGGGAACAAAGGUCCGGACGUGUCCGGAUGAGAGUGUACCCGAAGAAAAAGCAUCGGCUAACUCCGUGCCAGCAGCCGCGGUAAUACGGAGGAUGCGAGCGUUAUCCGGAUUUAUUGGGUUUAAAGGGUGCGUAGGCGGUCUGUUAAGUCAGCGGUAAAAGCCCGGGGCUCAACCCUGGCGAGCCGUUGAAACUGGCGGACUAGAGAGGGCGAGAAGUACGCGGAAUGCGCAGUGUAGCGGUGAAAUGCAUAGAUAUUGCGCAGAACUCCGAUUGCGAAGGCAGCGUACCGGCGCCUUUCUGACGCUGAGGCACGAAAGCGUGGGUAUCGAACAGGAUUAGAUACC